RNAcentral lists this ribosomal RNA (422 nucleotides) under uncultured bacterium. RNAcentral describes it as "bacterial SSU rRNA". It matches the Rfam family "Bacterial small subunit ribosomal RNA", at positions 355 to 774 of the family's 1533-position model. The record is from RNAcentral.
UAAGGAAUAUUGGUCAAUGGACGCAAGUCUGAACCAGCCAUGCCGCGUGGAGGAUUAAGGCCCUCUGGGUUGUAAACUCCUUUUAUCUGGGAAGAAAUGUACUUUUUCUUGAGUACUUGACGGUACCAGAGGAAUAAGCACCGGCUAACUCCGUGCCAGCAGCCGCGGUAAUACGGAGGGUGCAAGCGUUAUCCGGAUUCACUGGGUUUAAAGGGUGCGUAGGUGGGCAGGUAAGUCAGUGGUGAAAUCUCCGGGCUUAACCCGGAAACUGCCGUCGAUACUAUUUGGCUUGAAUAUUGUGGAGGUAAGCGGAAUAUGUCAUGUAGCGGUGAAAUGCUUAGAUAUGACAUACAACACCAAUUGCGAAGGCAGCUUACUACACAAUCAUUGACGCUGAGGCACGAAAGCGUGGGGAUCAAACA